GCCCCAGUGGCUCAACGGUUACAGCACCGAACUGAUACUUCGGGUCCUGACGGACUUCCGGGUUCGACUCCCGGCUGGGGCG
This 82-nucleotide transfer RNA is filed under the name Candidatus Pacearchaeota archaeon. RNAcentral describes it as "tRNA-Ile". It matches the Rfam family "tRNA". From Rfam's summary of the family: Transfer RNA (tRNA) molecules are approximately 80 nucleotides in length. Their secondary structure includes four short double-helical elements and three loops (D, anti-codon, and T loops). Further hydrogen bonds mediate the characteristic L-shaped molecular structure. tRNAs have two regions of fundamental functional importance: the anti-codon, which is responsible for specific mRNA codon recognition, and the 3' end, to which the tRNAs corresponding amino acid is attached (by aminoacyl-tRNA synthetases). tRNAs cope with the degeneracy of the genetic code in two manners: having more than one tRNA (with a specific anti-codon) for a particular amino acid; and 'wobble' base-pairing, i.e. permitting non-standard base-pairing at the 3rd anti-codon position. The record is from RNAcentral. Lineage: Archaea; Nanobdellati.